Molecule: unclassified non-coding RNA, 349 nt
Filed under: soil metagenome
Description: partial contains 5.8S ribosomal RNA, internal transcribed spacer 2, and large subunit ribosomal RNA
Rfam family: 5.8S ribosomal RNA (bases 1-120)
Source: RNAcentral
GAUGAAGAACGUAGCGAAAUGCGAAAAGUAAUGUGAAUUGCAGAAUUCAGUGAAUCAUCGAAUCUUUGAACGCACAUUGCGCCCGCCAGGAUUCUGGCGGGCAUGCCUGUCUGAGCGUCAUUUCAACCCUCACGCCCCUAGGGCGUGGUGUUGGGGAUCGGCCAGCGCCCUCGCGGGCGAGGCCGUCCCCUAAAUCUAGUGGCGGACCCGUCGUGGCCUCCCCUGCGAAGUAGUGAUAUUCCGCAUAGGAGAGCGACGAGCCCCUGCCGUUAAACCCCCAACUUUCUCAGGUUGACCUCAGAUCAGGUAGGAAUACCCGCUGAACUUAAGCAUAUCAAUAAGCGGAGGA